CGAGUAAAGUUCACCCCAAGCUUAGGCUUAGAGAACAGUGUAUGAGCAUUCCCAACGAAACCGCCAAGUCGGAUGGUCUUGCUGUACGUGUGGUUACAGGGACCGGGAAUGAUUGGUUUAAGUUCCUUGCCUAGUCAAGGAACUUAUGGAGAGAGAGAACUUAUGGAGACCAGGAACUUAUGGUGACCUGGAACUUAUGGAGCGAAGGGCUUGCCUAGUCAAGAACUUCUGAGAGGGCUUCUAAGAAACUUAUGGAGAAGAACCUACGUGGAAGAGAGAGAGAACUUCUGCGAGAACUUAGGGAGAGAAUGUUUGCCUAGUCGAGGAACUCCGGAGAGAGCUUCUGAGAAACUCCUGAGAGAACCUAGGAGGGAUCCACUGGCAGUGAGCGCUGGUGAAAGAUCCAUUGGGAGUGUGUUGUCCCAAAGAAGCCGCUGAGACGUGGAAGGUUUUACAGUGCAAGUGGUAGCUGUCCGCGACCCCAGCGUCGUGGAGUAUGUGUUCUCAAGUGUAUUAGCCUAGUGUGAGCUGGCUACGGAGAUUCCGUGGGAAUAUGUGUUUUCAUGUGUGAGUCAACCUGUACGCUCGCCGUGGACUGCGAGGGAGCACUGGGAUUCUAUUGGAAUAGGUGUUGUGUGUGUAAGUGAGUCUGUACGUUCGCCGUGGACAGUGAAGGAGCGUUCGUGCCCCAGAGAUCGGACUUUUAUGUCGCGGAAGAGACGUGAGUAAACCAGUAACUGUAAGUGUUUAAUCUUUAUAUACAAUAUCUGAGAAACUAUGUGCGCUCGAGACUUACUUCCAGAGUGGCGCUUUGUAUUGUUAUAACACCGCGGGAAUUGGACAGGCACGGUGGACUACCACCGUUGAGAGAGGACAGUGUGCCGAAUGUCAUGUGUAUUGGAUAGCUAGUGUAUGUUUAUGCUUUGUGGUUUUGUUUAAUUUGUUUUCGGGUCUACCAGACCUAUGACCCGCUUUCCCCGAGAGAGAGGAUAAGUAAGGGCUUUAUUUUCUUUUAGUAAAGUACACGAGAAGCCCA
Pomacea canaliculata is the source of this 1036-nucleotide long non-coding RNA. RefSeq lists it as uncharacterized. The transcript has 2 exons. NCBI's taxonomy places the organism in Eukaryota, Metazoa, Mollusca, Gastropoda, Architaenioglossa, Ampullariidae. The record is from RefSeq and is a predicted model, not a curated record.